This 253-nucleotide ribosomal RNA is filed under the name uncultured bacterium. RNAcentral describes it as "partial 16S ribosomal RNA". It matches the Rfam family "Bacterial small subunit ribosomal RNA", at positions 524 to 776 of the family's 1533-position model. The record is from RNAcentral.
UACGUAGGGGGCAAGCGUUAUCCGGAUCUACUGGGUGUAAAGGGAGCGUAGACGGCUGUGCAAGUCUGAAGUGAAAGGCAAGGGCUCAACCUUUGGACUGCUUUGGAAACUGUGCAGCUAGAGUGUCGGAGAGGCAAGUGGAAUUCCUAGUGUAGCGGUGAAAUGCGUAGAUAUUAGGAGGAACACCAGUGGCGAAGGCGGCUUGCUGGACGAUGACUGACGUUGAGGCUCGAAAGCGUGGGGAGCAAACAGG